UUACAAAAAAUUAAAAAUAUAUUAUUUCCAUGUGUGCAGCCUACUUGUCAUUGUUAGAAUGCAAUACGGUCGACUUAAAAGAAAAAGAAAAAUAGACACAAGGAGGGAUUGAGGAUAGGCGACAGAAAGUUAGAGCUUGGAGAAUUGGGAAAGAAACGAAUAAAGAGAGAAUCAAUUACAUGAAAACAAAAUUUGGUUGGGUUGUGUUUGUAUGUAAAUUGUCUAUGUUGGUGUUAUUUGGCUGAAGCUUGAAGACCAGAAGCGCGAUGGGUCUGUUACGCUGUCGACGGAGGUGCAGAGGUGAGUGGCGGCAGUAUCGUUUGAUGGCAACAUCGACGGCGACUUGCUGCCUGUCAUGGAGAAUUGGAAAGGAUAUUGUACGCGCGGGGACCGGUGGUCGGAGCUUCAUCAGGGUUGGCGAGCUUGACGACCACAGGAAGCUCAGCCGCCGUGAGGGGAAGACAUAGACGAAUGACGGAGGGAGAUGAGUUUUAACUGAGAUCUAUCUCGAAAUAGGCCGUGCACAUGGAAAUAACAUACUAGUUGCCACAUAUAACGGG
RNAcentral lists this long non-coding RNA (560 nucleotides) under Daucus carota (carrot). RNAcentral describes it as "long non-coding RNA (DCAR_LNC001930)". Lineage: Eukaryota; Viridiplantae; Streptophyta; Magnoliopsida; Apiales; Apiaceae. The record is from RNAcentral.